Molecule: long non-coding RNA, 206 nt
Filed under: Elaeis guineensis (African oil palm)
Lineage: Eukaryota; Viridiplantae; Streptophyta; Magnoliopsida; Arecales; Arecaceae
Description: long non-coding RNA (EGUI_LNC038827)
Source: RNAcentral
UUAUCAUCCUGCUUUGAUCAAUGACUUCCAGAAUCAUCGACUUAUGAGAUCACAUAGGAUAUUCGCUCUCCUUAUUAGGAUUGAUCUCUUAUUGAUCACUCACAACCUCCAUACAUACUUCACCAUAUCCAGAACACCCCAUACAAGGAUCACAGAACUAACUUAGGAAGUGAACCAAAAUAUGGAUUCAUGUACAUAAGGUACCA